UACGAGGGGGGCUAGUGUUGUUCGGAAUCACUGGGCGUAAAGAGCUCGUAGGCGGCUUGUCACGUCGACUGUGAAAAUCCGGGGCUCAACCCCGGACUUGCAGUGGGUACGGGCAGACUAGAGUGUGGUAGGGGAGACUGGAAUUCCUGGUGUAGCGGUGAAAUGCGCAAAUAUCAGGAGGAACACCGAUGGCGAAGGCAGGUCUCUGGGCCACUACUGACGCUGAGAAGCGAAAGCAUGGGGGAGCGAACAGGG
This 255-nucleotide ribosomal RNA is filed under the name uncultured bacterium. RNAcentral describes it as "partial 16S ribosomal RNA". It matches the Rfam family "Bacterial small subunit ribosomal RNA", at positions 524 to 777 of the family's 1533-position model. The record is from RNAcentral.